RNAcentral lists this ribosomal RNA (484 nucleotides) under uncultured bacterium. Its description in RNAcentral is "partial 16S ribosomal RNA". It matches the Rfam family "Bacterial small subunit ribosomal RNA", at positions 28 to 507 of the family's 1533-position model. The record is from RNAcentral.
AUUGAACGCUGGCGGCAUGCUUUACACAUGCAAGUCGAACGGCAGCGCGGGCUUCGGCCUGGCGGCGAGUGGCGAACGGGUGAGUAAUGCAUCGGAACGUGCCCAGUAGUGGGGGAUAGCCCGGCGAAAGCCGGAUUAAUACCGCAUACGACCUGAGGGUGAAAGCGGGGGACCGAAAGGCCUCGCGCUAUUGGAGCGGCCGAUGUCGGAUUAGCUAGUUGGUGGGGUAAAGGCUUACCAAGGCGACGAUCCGUAGCUGGUCUGAGAGGACGACCAGCCACACUGGGACCGAGACACGGCCCAGACUCCUACGGGAGGCAGCAGUGGGGAAUUUUGGACAAUGGGGGCAACCCUGAUCCAGCCAUGCCGCGUGCGGGAAGAAGGCCUUCGGGUUGUAAACCGCUUUUGUUCGGGAAGAAAUCCUCUGGGCUAAUACCCCGGGGGGAUGACGGUACCGGAAGAAUAAGCACCGGCUAACUACGUG